RNAcentral lists this long non-coding RNA (8692 nucleotides) under Triticum aestivum (bread wheat). RNAcentral's name for it is "long non-coding RNA (TAES_LNC025243)". The record is from RNAcentral. Lineage: Eukaryota; Viridiplantae; Streptophyta; Magnoliopsida; Poales; Poaceae.
AUAGUUUCUUGAGAAUCAUUUCAGAAAGUUCAGUGAUAUGGGUAUGGCAAGGACUGAAGAAGUGGACCCCUCAAAAUGCUAAGGCAAGCAUUGGCAAAAGCUCAAGACUCCAUUUUUGGUUUAGUGAUCCAAGAUCACAUUGAGUCUAUAGGAAAGCCAAUACUAUUAAAAGGGGAUGAGGUUAUGAUAAUGAUCUGGUUGCUCAAAGUGCUUAGUGAUAUAUCUCCUAAACUAUCAGCAACUCUCACUUCCAUAAUACACUCAUAAGUAAUCUCGGUCCCACCGAUUUUCCAAACCCAGUCACACCGAGAUGAACCACCUCAGCCAUAUAGCCAAACCCUAGAAUUCUCGGAUUUUCCGAUUCUGAACUCGGUCUCACCGAAACUUGAGUUGCCAAGCUUCUGUAACCUUCUGUCAUCAAAUCGGUGUCACCGAGAUGAUGAAGUCGGUCCCACCGAGAUUGGCAAGCUCUUGUCUUUGGACGAAUCGGACUCACCGAGUUUGUAUUUUCGGUCCCACCGAAAAUCCCAACGUUCACAUGAUUUGAACUUUCGGUCUCACCGAGUUGUCAACUUCGGUCUGACCGAGAUUGGUCAAAUGUGUGUAACGGUUGGAUUUUGUGUGGAGGCUAUAAAUACCCCUCCACCCCCUCUUCAUUCGUGGAGAGAGCCAUCAGAAAGAACUACCACUCCUACCUUACAUUUCUGAGAAGAGAACUACCUACCCUUGUGUUGAGAUCAAGUAGCUCCACUCCCACCAUAUGAAACUUGAUCUCUAGCCUUCCCAAGUUGCUUUCCACUCAAUCCUUUCUUCCACCACAGCCAAAUCAGUGAGGAGAGUUGAGUGUUGGGGAGAUUAUCAUUUGAAGCACAAGAGCAAGGAGUUCAUCAUCAUCAACACCAUCUAUUACCUUUUGGAGGGUGGUGCCUCCUAGAUUGGUUAGGUGUCGCUUGGGAGCCUCCGUCGAGAUGUGGAGUUGAACCAAGAAGUUUGUAAGGGCAAGGAGAUCGCCUACUUCAUGAAGAUCUACCCCGAGUAAGGCUAGCCCUCCGUGGGCGUAGGCCAUGAUGGCAUAGACAAGGUUGCUUCUUCGUGGACCCUUCGUGGGUGGAGCCCUCCGUGGACUCUCGCAGCCGUUACCCUCCGUGGGUUGAAGUCUCCAUCAACGUGGAUUGACGAUAGCACCACCUAUCGGAACCACGAGAAAAAAUCUCCGUGUCUCCAAAUUGCGUUUGCUCUUCUCCACCUCUCUUUACUACAUGUGCAAUUUACUUUCCGCUGCCUAUACUCUAGAAUUGCAUGUGUAGGGUGAUACUUGACUUGAUCAUCAUUGUGAACUUGCCAAAAACUUGUCUUUAUCAAAAGGCUGAAUUUUUAUAUUGUCAAGUAGUCUAAUCACCCCCCCCUCUAGACAUACUUUCGAUCCUACAAGUGGUAUCAGAGCUUUGGUCUCCAUUGUAUUGGUUUCCAUUGCAUUGGACUCCAUAAGCUUGGUUUCACAACCUAGGAGAGUAUGGCGUCUAGUGAGGGUAAUUUUCGUAGAGGUCCUUACUUUGAUGGUACAAAUUUUGCUAGUUGGAAGCAUAAAAUGAAAAUGCAUAUUCUUGGUCAUAACCCAGCCGCAUGGGGCAUUAUUUAUGUUGGUUUGCAAGGUGAGUUCUUCGAGGAAGGAAAAGUUCCGGAUCACGAAGCUACAACGGAUGAAUUGCGGAUGUUGCAAAACAAUGCUCAAGCUUGUGACAUUCUAUUCAAUGCUUUGUGUCCCGAGGAGUUCAACAAAAUCAGCCGUCUUGAGAAUGCAAAAGAGAUUUGGGAUACUUUGGUUGAAAUGCACGAAGGUACCGAGUCCGUGAAGGAAUCAAAGCUAGAUAUUCUUCAAGGUCAACUUGACAAGUUCAAGAUGAAGGAUGGUGAAGGAGUCGCUGAAAUGUACUCUAGGCUUGCGCUCAUCACAAAUGAGAUUGCCAGCUUAGGAAGCGAAGAAAUGACCGACCGAUUCAUCAUCAAAAAGAUUCUCAGAGCUUUGGAUGGAAAGUAUGACACCAUGUGCACUUUGAUCCAAAUGAUGCCAAACUACAAGAAUCUCAAGCCAACCGAAGUCAUUGGAAGAAUUGUAGCUCAUGAAACAACUCAAGAAGAUCAUAGAGAGCUCCUAAGAUCUCAUGAGAAGCUACGCUUCGAGAAGCUCAAUCUAGAGCAAGAACAUGAGUUCCUAAAAGCAAUCAAUGACGAUCUUCGAAAGAAGAGUUCUUCAUAUCUUGCCAACCGACUUCUCUUGUCUAAUUUCUUGCCACCUAUUAAAACUAAGCAUGACAAGCAUAAGAAAAAUUCUUCAUCUAGAAGCAACAAUAUUGGUUCUAGUAGUUCUCUUGAUUCCACUAACAAUGUUUCAAGCCAAGUUACACUUGAGCAAGAAAAUAGUUUAUUGAAAGGGAUUAUAGAGAAAGGUGUCUACAAAAGCCUUGCCGGAAGCAAGAACUUUGAGGAAAUUAUUCGCAAGCAAAGGAGGCACCGGAUGAAUCAAGGAAUUGGUUUUGAGCGAAAGUUCAACGCCGAGGGUGUUGAAUGGGAAGAAGGUCAAUAUACCACUCCAAAGUUUGUUUCUCAAAAGGAGAAGUACGAUCCUACUUCUUCCAAUGUGGAACAAGCUCAAGAUGAUCUUCCACCACAAGACCACAAGCUAAAAGACAAGGACAAGCUUCAAGAGGAGAAUGAUGCAUUUAUUGAAGCACCUAAAGCCAUGGUCAAGUGGGUUCCCAAGGAAACGUCAAGUUCUACUUCGUCAAGCUCAACUACAACCCCAAGGAUUCCCAUCAAGAUGAUGUGGAUCCCGAAGAAGAAGAACUAGAGAGUUCUUGAGGGUGACUCCGCCAACAUACUUCACUCAUAUUCAUCUUGGCAAGAACUUGUGCAAUCAACUUCCACAUCUUGCACUAGUUCAUGGAGUCACAAACCCUCUUGUUGGUAAGUCAAGGGACAAGGUAAUCAUAGCUCUCAUGGACAUCAUCCAUUGUGUACUUCAUUCUAUGUCCAUGGAUAUCCUUGUUUGUUCCUUGUGGGACUAACCCAUGUAGGUAUUGAAAGUGCCCGAAUCCAAAGGCUUGCUCCCAACUCUUGAUGAUCUUCAUCAACAUUGAGCAUCCACAUCUUCAACAUCUACAUGAAGUCUUCUACGCAACCCAAGGUUAGUUUGACCCUUUAAAAGGGGUUCUCACAUCUAGGGGGAGCUUUGCUCUAAAGAAUUGAGCUAAAGCAUCUUCAAAUGAUGUGAACACAUCAAUGCUUUAUGUAAAAGUGGUAACCCCACUUGUGCUUAAACGAUGAGUAUGACCUAUGAUCAAAUGUUCUCAUUUGACUCCUAAGUCAAUAUACUCAUAUAUAGAUGACCUAGUCAUCGACAAAUUGUGUGAUAGUAGCUAGAGUUUUGAUUGUGCAUGUUUGACACAUAUUUCAUUUGCUAUCUUAUUGUGUGAGCAUGUUGGAUGCAUGAUUUAAUCCAUUCGAGGACAUCCAUUUGUUGCUUUGGUCUUUUUGAUUUUUUUUCUGACCAAAUGGAUGGACAAGAAUGCCUAAGUACCUCCCCUAGCUAUCUAUGCUUUCUUGUCUCAAAUUCUAUUCAUGCUUACAUCACAAACUUUGAACAAGUCAUUUUCGGACCCUCCGAGUGAGGAGCACUCGGAGCCACCGAUCCGUCAAGGGCUAACUUCCAAAACCUUCUAAGUGAUUUCGGUCAAACCAACCCACUCAAACUCGGUCAAACCGAAAGCAUUUGGAUUGAUCUAGGUUUUCACCUCGGUGAAACCGAGUUGUGAAUUUCGGCGUGACCGAAGUGCAUAACUGCCCUGCAGUUAUCCAUCUCGGUGCCACCGAGUUUUACAACUCGGUCCCACCGACAGCAAAGGGGUAUAUAUACUCCGAGGGCCGCGCGUUGAUUUCUACUUCAAAACGCUUCGCCCCCACACCCCUUGCUGCCGUCGCCUGGUCUCCGGAUCGUCUCCGUCGUCGCCUGUGCGCCCUCGCCGCAGGUCUCCGUCGCCGUCAACAGACAUCUUCUCCGCGCCGUUGCCGCCGUAGAGGAACUCCACCAAGUUAGGGUGAGUUUCGAUCCCACUCGUGCUCUCAUCUCCGAUUCAAUGCACGUUUGGUUUGCCUGUAAUCUUUCCACGAUUGAAAUCUUCCUGAACACAAGAUUAGUUCCUUUGAACGAAAUUCGAGUAAAAGUUUUAGGGUUAGGUUUCCGCCGAACACAUCUCGGUGAGACCGAUUUUACAUUCUCGGUAUGACCGAUUUGGCCUCUGGCCAUUGCACUGCACCUUUCGGUCCAACCGAGUUGUGCAAAUCAGUGUGACCGAAAUGAGGAUUUAGUGAAACCCUAGUGUUUUCGGCAGGACCGAAACCCACUUCGGUCCAACCGAAAGUGGUGUGAAUGCUUCUGUUUGAACACUUCGGAUUCACCGAAUUUUAAACUCGGACUAACCGAAAUGUCUUCUGUGAAAACCUAAUACUAGAAUUUGAACUCAUUCUGUUUGCAAAAUCUUCUGCAGUUUGUGAUAACUCUUCUACUCUGCCUACACCUUAUCUAUUCACAGGUUGUCAGCCAUGUCAGAUGCCAGUGACAGCCAGAACAGGUCUGAGUCACCUAUUGCUGAUAUUCCAGAGGCAGGCACUAGUCCUGAACCCAGCAGCUCAUCAGAUGAUGGUGAGAGGAGCACACCAAGUGGUUUGCCCCCUGCAGCCACCAGGGCCAGAAAGAAGAGGAACUCUGAUGAAGAAGAUUCUGAUUUCAUUGUUGAGGAAGAGGUCUCCUCCAAGCCAAAGAGAAAGGUUGUUGCCAAAGAGCCUCAAGGGCAGCAAACCAAGAAAGGCACCAGAAAAGUGAAGCAGUCCACUGUUGCCAAAAAGCUGAGUAUGGAAGAGGAAACUACAAGCAAGGUGAAGAAAACUUCCAAGAGGAAGAGGAUUGUGCAUGAUGAUGCAGCAGAAGAGGAUGAGGAUGAGGAAGCACCCCAGCCUCCUCAGAAGCCUAAGCUCAUGGGUGAUGCCAUCAGGGCUGGAGCCACUUCAAAGUCCAAGCCAUCUACUCCAGUCAAGGCAGCUCCAGCAAAGCCUGCUGCCAAGCCCAAGAAGACCGUCAGAAACAUUCUAGCGUCUGAAAAGAACAAGGAUGAUGUGCCACCAGCUGUGUCAGAUGAUGAGGCACCAGUUUUGCUGAAACUUCGUCCAAAACUGCCACUUCACAAUGAUGCUCAUCCUCAAGCUGAAAACAUGAAGGAAAGGAAGGAUAGAGGUCUCAGGCUAUGGAGACAAGCUGAUCCAUAUGCUGUGAGGAGAAGAACUGCUGUUGAUCCCAGAUUUCACACCAGAGAGCAGCAGGACUUCUAUGAGACUGUGCUGAUGGACAAGAAGCCCAUAGUGGCAGACACCAGAUUUGUUGAUUGGAAAUACAUUGACAGUGAAGAGCACAGAGACUUCUUUCCACAUGUGCAUGAGAGCUUCACUGCAUGUGGUGUUGCAGACUUCGUAGGUCAAAAGCUGACAAGUUGGAAUGAUGAAAUGAUUAUGCAAUUCUAUGCCACGGCUCAUUUCUAUCCAGAUGAAAAGAUCACAUGGAUGACUGAAGGCCAAAGAUUCUCUUCAACUGUAGAAGAAUGGGCAGAACUGCUGAAUGCUCCAGUGUAGAGAGAGGAUGAUGUUGAUGUCUAUGGCAUUCCCAAGAAGAACCAUGAAUCUAUGAAGAAUAUGUACAAGGAGGUUCCAGCUAAGGAUUUAGCAAUCUGGAAGCUUGGCUCAGUGUAUUAUCUCCAGGCAGGUCUACCUACCACAAACACUAUUCUGAGGCAUACCUUGAUGCCCAAGUCUGGAGAUCAUCGCAUGAUCAGAGGGUACUCUAUCAACAUGCUGCAUAUACUUGAUGAGAAGUCACCGUUCAAGGUGAUGGACUUGAUAGUUGAGACUAUUAAGAGGACUACAGCUGACCAGAAAAGGUCGUGUGGAUUUGCCCCGCAUAUUCAGAUGCUUAUCAAUGCCAAGUUUGGCACGGGCACAUUCUUGUUGGAUAGAGAACACCUACCACUGCAGCCUGAGCAUGAGGACAAUGAUGUUGUGAUGGAUGAGGAGGAUCCAACUUCUGUUGAAGGUCAAGCAAAGAUUGAAGCUGCCAAGAAAGCCAAAGCUGAGAAGGAAGCAGCAGCAGCAGCAGCUAAACCAAAGAGUGUUGGAGAGCAGCUCCUUGAAGCUACCCAAAGGAUUGAACAACGCCUGGCCAGCAUUGUACAGUCUCAGGAGAGCCUUGAGAGGAUUGUUGAAGACAAGAUCCAUGCUCUGGAUGUGAAGCUGACUGAAGUGCAAGUAACUGUCAACAAGCUUGAGGCAGAUAUCGAGGAAGCAAAGAGGGAGAAGGAAGAGCUCAUGCAUGAGAUGCAGGAUGACCUAGUCCAGGAUGCUUAUGAACAGACUGCUCCGGUUCCCACAGGACCCCGAUCAGCUGCUAUUCCAGUGACAGACACCAGGACUACAGCCUCAGCACCUCCCACAGCUCCAUCAGUUGCUCCAGCUCCAGCUCCAGUGACCACUCCUCCAGCUCCACAGACAUCAGCAGAAGUCUUCGCCGAUGCAGCCAUCUCAACUCCAAUAUCAACCCAGACAGGAGCCGCCAGCAGAGUCCCUAGUGACGUUUAGCUCUAUACUUUUCGAACUUUUUGGUAACUUGUUGCCAAAGGGGGAGAAAUUGUAUAGAUCAUAGGACUUCGAGAGAGAGAGUGCUGUUGUUUUUUUUGCGCUUUUGCUCUUUCGUUCUUUUGCGGUCUUUUUGAGAUUCUUUUGGUUUUCAUGACAUUCUGUGUGUUUGAUACUACGUUUGAUGAGUGCUUCGUCGUACUAUGCCUUAAUGUGUGCUUAAUGCUUAUCAUAUGCUAUUCCUAUCUUGUAUGACCAUUUACUCAUGUCUUGGUGAUUGGGUGCAUGCUAUUCAUUCUUAUCAUUUUGUGCGCUCCACCAAGAUGUAUGUGACAUGGAAGAGUGACCCAUGAUCCUAAUCGAUUGUGCAUUUGCAUUCAAACGCAAAUCUUAAAUAAUGCACAAAUUUAGGGGGAGCUCUUGCUUAUCACAUACUUCUCAAAGCGACGAUAUUAUUCAUUGAUUAUAUCCUUUGUCGAAGCUUUGAUCUAUAUGUUGUCAUCAAUUACCAAAAAGGGGGAGAUUGAAAGUGCAACUAAUCCCCGGGUGGUUUUGGUAAUUAAUAACAACAUAUAUAUCAAUGAACUAAUAGUUUCUUGAGAAUCAUUUCAGAAAGUUCAGUGAUAUGGGUAUGGCAAGGACUGAAGAAGUGGACCCCUCAAAAUGCUAAGGCAAGCAUUGGCAAAAGCUCAAGACUCCAUUUUUGGUUUAGUGAUCCAAGAUCACAUUGAGUCUAUAGGAAAGCCAAUACUAUUAAAAGGGGAUGAGGUUAUGAUAAUGAUCUGGUUGCUCAAAGUGCUUAGUGAUAUAUCUCCUAAACUAUCAGCAACUCUCACUUCCAUAAUACACUCAUAAGUAAUCUCGGUCCCACCGAUUUUCCAAACCCAGUCACACCGAGAUGAACCACCUCAGCCAUAUAGCCAAACCCUAGAAUUCUCGGAUUUUCUGAUUCUGAACUCGGUCUCACCGAAACUUGAGUUGCCAAGCUUCUGUAACCUUCUGUCAUCAAAUCGGUGUCACCGAGAUGAUGAAGUCGGUCCCACCGAGAUUGGCAAGCUCUUGUCUUUGGACGAAUCGGACUCACCGAGUUUGUAUUUUCGGUCCCACCGAAAAUCCCAACGUUCACAUGAUUUGAACUUUCGGUCUCACCGAGUUGUCAACUUCGGUCUGACCGAGAUUGGUCAAAUGUGUGUAACGGUUGGAUUUUGUGUGGAGGCUAUAAAUACCCCUCCACCCCCUCUUCAUUCGUGGAGAGAGCCAUCAGAAAGAACUACCACUCCUACCUUACAUUUCUGAGAAGAGAACUACCUACCCUUGUGUUGAGAUCAAGUAGCUCCACUCCCACCAUAUGAAACUUGAUCUCUAGCCUUCCCAAGUUGCUUUCCACUCAAUCCUUUCUUCCACCACAGCCAAAUCAGUGAGGAGAGUUGAGUGUUGGGGAGAUUAUCAUUUGAAGCACAAGAGCAAGGAGUUCAUCAUCAUCAACACCAUCUAUUACCUUUUGGAGGGUGGUGCCUCCUAGAUUGGUUAGGUGUCGCUUGGGAGCCUCCGUCGAGAUGUGGAGUUGAACCAAGAAGUUUGUAAGGGCAAGGAGAUCGCCUACUUCGUGAAGAUCUACCCCGAGUAAGGCUAGCCCUCCGUGGGCGUAGGCCAUGAUGGCAUAGACAAGGUUGCUUCUUCGUGGACCCUUCGUGGGUGGAGCCCUCCGUGGACUCUCGCAGCCGUUACCCUCCGUGGGUUGAAGUCUCCAUCAACGUGGAUUGACGAUAGCACCACCUAUCGGAACCACGAGAAAAAAUCUCCGUGUCUCCAAAUUGCGUUUGCUCUUCUCCACCUCUCUUUACUACAUGUGCAAUUUACUUUCCGCUGCCUAUACUCUAGAAUUGCAUGUGUAGGGUGAUACUUGACUUGAUCAUCAUUGUGAACUUGCCAAAAACUUGUCUUUAUCAAAAGGCUGAAUUUUUAUAUUGUCAAGUAGUCUAAUCACCCCCCUCUAGACAUACUUUCGAUCCUACAA